UGGAUAGAGGCGCGGCGCCCAUCAGUACCCUUCGCCUGCAGGCAAAGACGUCCGGGAAAGGGAGCGCCGCCGAAGUGAAAUCACCGUUGCCUGGUCGGUGCUUUCGCUGGGCCGGCGGGGAAUACCCGUCGGACUGUCACGAUUCGUGGAGCGCUAUCUGA
This 161-nucleotide non-coding RNA is filed under the name bovine gut metagenome. Its description in RNAcentral is "Lysine riboswitch". It matches the Rfam family "Lysine riboswitch aptamer". Rfam says of the family: Riboswitches are metabolite binding domains within certain messenger RNAs that serve as precision sensors for their corresponding targets. The record is from RNAcentral.